GAUGAACGCUGGCGGCGUGCCUAAUACAUGCAAGUCGAGCGAACGGACGAGAAGCUUGCUUUUCUGAUGUUAGCGGCGGACGGGUGAGUAACACGUGGAUAACCUACCUAUAAGACUGGGAUAACUUCGGGAAACCGGAGCUAAUACCGGAUAAUAUUUUGAACCGCAUGGUUCAAAAGUGAAAGACGGUCUUGCUGUCACUUAUAGAUGGAUCCGCGCUGCAUUAGCUAGUUGGUAAGGUAACGGCUUACCAAGGCAACGAUGCAUAGCCGACCUGAAAGGGUGAUCGGCCACACUGGAACUGAGACACGGUCCAGACUCCUACGGGAGGCAGCAGUAGGGAAUCUUCCGCAAUGGGCGAAAGCCUGACGGAGCAACGCCGCGUGAGUGAUGAAGGUCUUCGGAUCGUAAAACUCUGUUAUUAGGGAAGAACAUAUGUGUAAGUAACUGUGCACAUCUUGACGGCACCUAAUCAGAAAGCCACGGCUAACUACGUG
RNAcentral lists this ribosomal RNA (497 nucleotides) under uncultured bacterium. RNAcentral's name for it is "partial 16S ribosomal RNA". It matches the Rfam family "Bacterial small subunit ribosomal RNA", at positions 28 to 507 of the family's 1533-position model. The record is from RNAcentral.